Phasianus colchicus (ring-necked pheasant) is the source of this 1240-nucleotide non-coding RNA. Lineage: Eukaryota; Metazoa; Chordata; Aves; Galliformes; Phasianidae. The record is from RefSeq and is a predicted model, not a curated record.
AGUUGAGUCAUUAGUGCCAUUUUUGUUCUUUCAAAGAAUUCUACUUGUGUCAAGCCAGAGGUGAUUCCAAGGACCUUCCAACUAAACCACAUGAUGAUGUCUGACAUGAUUACUGUAACAGAUGAGAUUUUUCAUUAGUGGGUGGCAUUCGAGUGCCACAUUCUUGUGUUUAGCUUCAGACAGGAAGAAAAAAAUCUAAUUAUUUAAUUUAUAGAAACUACAGAAGGUGACAAUUAUUUUUUUACUUCUCCCAUGCAGUGCUGUCUGUACAGAGCCAUUUGUACCCUUGGGAAGCAACAGUGCAAGAAAACAAGGGCUCAUCUUGCACACAGUCAGGGUGCUCCGUGGGCUGAAAAAACCUUUAUUCAAAGGCGAACUUUGGGUCAGAAGACACUGCAAGGCAAUCUGUCGUCACACUGCAAGGGCAUACUCAAGACCAGUGUUGAGACCAAAUAGUCAUACGAGAAGAAGCCUUUGAGAAGUAUUUUUAAAGCUUAUCUGAUUUCAGGAUUUAUAAUAUUUAAAUUUCCACUGAUGGUAAAUAUGCUUAUCAAUCCAGUUUUACUGUUUCAUAUUCUUAAUAUAGAUGUGCAUUAUGCUAUGAUUCUCACAUAGUAAGUAUGUGUGUAUGUGAAUAAAAGUGGCAAGUUAUAAGUUAUUUUGCAAGUACGGCACUCAGAGGUUAGGUUUUAACUUAUAAUAUUGAAAUACAGUACUCCAAUUAAAAAAUAUAUGUAUUUGCCUUUAAAUUCUUUAUCUUUUAGUUCUACUCAACUGAGAAGGAGUAUUGAGCAGCCCAGGCCUGAUUUUGAAAUCAAAGUCUGCCUUUUAACUUUCACUCUCCUAUUCAUACUUCCCUAUCCUCCACUACUCACCAAGAAUGACGGCUAUUUUCCAAAGUCCUGCACAGCCAACAUCCCACUAACAGAUUCAUAUAAGUAAUGAUAAUGAUGUAGUGAAAUCUAAGCUUCAUUUAUUUUGGUAAUUUUAAUAAUGAUAGUUCUUAAUGUUGUAGAUGUCAAGUUUGGCAUUUAGAUUGUGCUAAAUCAUAAGCUUUAAAUUCAGUGCUGUAUUUUAACUCUGCCAAAAGUGAAAGCAAGGCAGGUGGAUUGAGUGUCAUGAUUUGAAAAUUUAUACAAUGCUUUUGAGUGCCUGAGUACCUUCAGAUAGUGCUGAGUUCAACUUCUGAAACUCUUGCCUGUUUUUGACAUCUGAGAAUUAAACUAAAACCAAACUAGAA